CUGGCAGGCCUAACACAUGCAAGUCGAGCGGUAGCACAGAGAGCUUGCUCUCGGGUGACGAGCGGCGGACGGGUGAGUAAUGUCUGGGAAACUGCCUGAUGGAGGGGGAUAACUACUGGAAACGGUAGCUAAUACCGCAUAAUGUCGCAAGACCAAAGUGGGGGACCUUCGGGCCUCAUGCCAUCAGAUGUGCCCAGAUGGGAUUAGCUAGUAGGUGGGGUAACGGCUCACCUAGGCGACGAUCCCUAGCUGGUCUGAGAGGAUGACCAGCCACACUGGAACUGAGACACGGUCCAGACUCCUACGGGAGGCAGCAGUGGGGAAUAUUGCACAAUGGGCGCAAGCCUGAUGCAGCCAUGCCGCGUGUGUGAAGAAGGCCUUCGGGUUGUAAAGCACUUUCAGCGGGGAGGAAGGCGAUGAGGUUAAUAACCUUGUCGAUUGACGUUACCCGCAGAAGAAGCACCGGCUAACUCCGUGCCAGCAGCCGCGGUAAUACGGAGGGUGCAAGCGUUAAUCGGAAUUACUGGGCGUAAAGCGCACGCAGGCGGUCUGUCAAGUCGGAUGUGAAAUCCCCGGGCUCAACCUGGGAACUGCAUUCGAAACUGGCAGGCUAGAGUCUUGUAGAGGGGGGUAGAAUUCCAGGUGUAGCGGUGAAAUGCGUAGAGAUCUGGAGGAAUACCGGUGGCGAAGGCGGCCCCCUGGACAAAGACUGACGCUCAGGUGCGAAAGCGUGGGGAGCAAACAGGAUUAGAUACCCUGGUAGUCCACGCCGUAAACGAUGUCGAUUUGGAGGUUGUGCAGCUUUGAGGCGUGGCUUCCGGAGCUAACGCGUUAAAUCGACCGCCUGGGGAGUACGGCCGCAAGGUUAAAACUCAAAUGAAUUGACGGGGGCCCGCACAAGCGGUGGAGCAUGUGGUUUAAUUCGAUGCAACGCGAAGAACCUUACCUGGUCUUGACAUCCACAGAACUUUCCAGAGAUGGAUUGGUGCCUUCGAGAACUGUGAGACAGGUGCUGCAUGGCUGUCGUCAGCUCGUGUUGUGAAAUGUUGGGUUAAGUCCCGCAACGAGCGCAACCCUUAUCCUUUGUUGCCAGCGGUUCGGCCGGGAACUCAAAGGAGACUGCC
This 1124-nucleotide ribosomal RNA is filed under the name Klebsiella pneumoniae. RNAcentral describes it as "bacterial SSU rRNA". It matches the Rfam family "Bacterial small subunit ribosomal RNA", at positions 39 to 1153 of the family's 1533-position model. The record is from RNAcentral. Lineage: Bacteria; Pseudomonadati; Pseudomonadota; Gammaproteobacteria; Enterobacterales; Enterobacteriaceae.